This 2197-nucleotide ribosomal RNA is filed under the name invertebrate metagenome. RNAcentral's name for it is "bacterial LSU rRNA". It matches the Rfam family "Bacterial large subunit ribosomal RNA", at positions 216 to 2372 of the family's 2925-position model. The record is from RNAcentral.
AGUAGAAAACAAUUGUGAUUCCCUUAGUAGCGGCGAGCGAACGGGGAACAGCCUAAACCUUUACUGUGUGAUAUCUGCACGGAGUUGCAGUAGGGGUGUUGUAGGAUGUACUGUUUUGUGUUGUGUGACACAGACUGCAGUCAAAAAAUAUUUUAAUAGCAGAAGUCAGCUGGAAAGCUGGAACCAGAGUGGGUGAUAGUCCCGUAAGCGAAAUUAAGAUAUCUGUAGAGUAUAUUCCUGAGUACAACGGGACACGAGAAAUCCUGUUGGAAUCUGGGGGGACCACCCUCCAAGGCUAAAUACGAGAUAGCUACCGAUAGUGAACGAGUACCGUAAGGGAAGUGGUGAAAAGCACCCCGGGAGGGGAGUGAAAUAGACCUGAAACCGUGGAUUUACAAGUGGUCAAAGCGUCCUUGAGACGUGAUGGCGUGCCUUUUGUAGAAUGAGCCUGCGAGUUACGUUAAUAUGCAAGGUUAAGGUAUAGAAGUACCGGAGCCGGAGGGAAACCGAGUCUUAAUAGGGCGAUUUAGUAUGCUGCCGUAGACCCGAAGCCGAGUGAUCUAUUUAUGAGCAGGUUGAAGCUUGAGUAAAAUCAAGUGGAGGACCGAACACUAGUCUGUUGAAAAAGGCAGUGAUGACUUGUGAAUAGGGGUGAAAGGCCAAUCAAACUCGGAGAUAGCUGGUUCUCGUCGAAAUGGUUUUAGGAUCAGCGUGAUAUGAUUUUUGUCGGAGGUAAAGCACUGAUUAGGCUAGGGCCCUUCACCGGGUACCAAACUUAUUCAAACUCUGAAUACCGAUAAACAAAAUAUUGCAGUGAGACUGUGGGUGAUAAGAUCCAUGGUCAAGAGGGAAAGAGCCCAGACCGUCAGCUAAGGUCCCUAAACUAUGCUAAGUGGAGAAGGAAGUUCGAUUGCAAAGACAGCCAGGAGGUUGGCUUAGAAGCAGCCACUCCUUGAAAGAGUGCGUAAUAGCUCACUGGUCGAGUAGUCGAGCGCCUAAAAUGUAACGGGGCUAAGCAUAGUACCGAAGCUACGGAUUCGUAUUUAUACGGAUGGUAGACGAGAGUUGUGUAGGCCGUUGAAGGUGUACUGGGAAGUAUGCUGGAGGUAUCACAAGUUAGAAUGCAGGCAUGAGUAACGAAAAGGAGGGUGAGAUCCCCUCCCGCCGAAAGCCUAAGGGUUCCUGGGUAAAGGUUUUCUUCCCAGGGUGAGUCGGCCCCUAAGACGAGGCUGAAGAGCGUAGUCGAUGGGAAACUGGUUAAUAUUCCAGUACUUCUGUUAAUUUCGAUGGGAUGACGCAUAAGGAGAUUCUAUGCCGGAGAAUGGUAGUUCCGGUCUAAGCAUUAAGGUGUUGAGGUCUAUAGGCAAAUCCGUAGACUGAGCUGAGAUGUUAAAGGUAGCGACCUUACGGGGAAGCGAAGAUAGAGGAUUCAUCGUGCCAGGAAAUAAUCUCUAAGGUUCGAUUAACAGGAACCGUACCGCAAACCGACACAGGUAGGCGAGCUGAGUAUGCUAAGGCGUACGGGAUAACUCGGGUUAAGGAACUCGGCAAAUUACAUACGUAACUUAGGGAGAAGUAUGGCCUACUCCGCGAGGAGAGGUUGCAAAAAAUUGGUCCAAUCGACUGUUUACCAAAAACACAGGUCUCUGCGAAAUCGUAAGAUGAAGUAUAGGGACUGACACCUGCCCGGUGCCGGAAGGUUAAGAGGAGUUGUUAGAGUUUACUCGAAGCAGCGAAUUGAAGCCCCGGUAAACGGCGGCCGUAACUAUAACGGUCCUAAGGUAGCGAAAUUCCUUGUCGGGUAAGUUCCGACCCGCACGAAUGGUGUAACGAAUUGGACGCUGUCUCAACCCGAGACCCGGUGAAAUUAAAGUAUCGGUGAAGAUGCCGAUUACAUGUGGUUAGACGGAAAGACCCCGUGAACCUUUACUACAGCCUGAUAUUGAAAUUUGUUUAAACAUGUGUAGGAUAGGUGGGAGACUAUGACUACUGGUCGUUAGGCUGGUACGAGUCGUUGGUGAAAUACCACCCUUGUUUAAAUAGGUUUCUAACAGUAGCCGUUAUCCGGUUAUUGGACAAUGUCUGGUGGGUAGUUUGACUGGGGCGGUCGCCUCCUAAAGAGUAACGGAGGCGCGCAAAGGUUACCUUGAUCUGGUUGGAAAUCAGAUUUAAAGUGCAAAGGCAGAAGGUAGCUUGA